Long non-coding RNA from Acanthochromis polyacanthus (spiny chromis), 126 nucleotides. RefSeq lists it as uncharacterized. The transcript is spliced from 4 exons. Lineage: Eukaryota; Metazoa; Chordata; Actinopteri; Pomacentridae. The record is from RefSeq and is a predicted model, not a curated record.
CAGGUACACAGACAGGUACACACACAGGUUCACAGACAGACAGGCACACAGACUGACAGGUACACAGACAGACAGGUACACAGACAGACAGGUACACAGACAGACAGGCACACAGACAGACAGGUG